CUGGAAUCGCCCUCUGAAGUCGGCAGUGUCCAACUCCAGGAGCGUGUUUGCACCGUGUCCCUGUGGCCAUCCACAAGCCCCCGGCUCGGCCGGGCGUUUUUUCAGGGCUCUGGAAUGAGUCCUUAUAUAGGAUCCAUUCGAAGCCAUAAGCCUGAUUGCAGGGCGCAGCCAACAUCUGGAGCAGCGGGAGAUGAUCGGACAGCAUUGCGAAACAUAAAAUAUGAAACUUAUUAACUUUUUCCUGUGUUAAAAGUAUUUUAAAUGGAAGCAAUCUGAUAGUGCAUUGAGCAAAACUUUAUCACCCAGAAAAGUUAAGAAAAAGAAGGAGAGUUCAGUCAUUUUAGGGUUUAUUUUAUUUCUUUUUGCCUGAGUUGCACUUUUGCCAAUUUUAGAACAUCAUUACCUUGCAUAAUGGAUUUUGCUUUAAAAGCAUUCUCACACCUGUUUGCCUUUGCAUAAGGACUAAUGUCACGUUGAGCCCAAGAAAAACAAGCCAUAAAUCAAUGUAUUAACGAGCAAGGAAAUUCAAGGUGCGGAGGAGUGACUGUCAUUCCUCAGGUGCAUGGGCACGAUCUUGCAGUCUCCUGGCAGCUCCACCCAUAGGCGUGCCGUGUGCACACGUGAAAGAGCUUUCCUCGGAAUUGCUCUAGCAGCUAAGGAGCAAAAGGAAAUCCUAACCAGAGCUGUGACAUCCCCCCAAGUCUGUAUUUCCCUGUCAUGAUGGCGCUGCUGGAAAGGGGCUGCAAUGCAAGAGACCUAAGGAGAUCUGCCCUCGGAUUGGCCCAGCCACCGCUCCUCCCAUUAUUGAAACCCGAGUCGCAGCCGUAAAUAUCCUCAAGUCAAUCUCUAAGUAUAAAAACAUCCCAGAAAUGUUGCCUGCGCACAAGCAAUUUCCCCCAAGAAAGGGAAUCUCGUAGAAAGUGGGGGAAGACAAAGGGCCAAUUUGGAAGAGAUACAAAUUGACUAUGAACAUGAUUUCUUUAAUUAAAUGAGAAAGCAUUAAAUCUUCUUUAGGACAAAAAUACCAAAAGUCUAUGUAUUCAGCAAACACAAUGAAUCAGUAAAUAGUUUUUUCAAGCCUUCGAGGUUAGUGAAAUUGACCUACCGUUUUAGCUAAAACAUAUCUUUGGCUUCCUAAUGUUGCACAACCUUUAGAAAGCUUAGAAGGGAAUAUUCCAGCUCUGGGAAGGCCAACGCCUUCCUGACGCCUAAUGUCAAACUUUAAGCCCAUGCAAAUGUGCAUCUGAGUCGAAGAAGAUACCAAGAUCGCAGACCAGGCACAGGCCGGGUGCCAGACGCCCUGCAGAUCCUGUUAGGAGGGUCUGUGUAAAUUAUCUCCUCCACUCCCCAAAGGAACCGUGCCAAAUAUGUCUGACAGUGUCCAUUUUACAGAUGCAGAAAUGGAGGCUCAAAGAGGCCAAGUAAUUUGCCCAAGAUGACAGGGACAGGAAGCAGCACAGAUGCAAUUCUAACCCAAGUCCUUAACUCCAACCACUACCACAACGGUCUUCCUCAAAAUAGUAAGGAACUACACAUUCAUGGCAAAUUGCUUUUUUAUUCAUGAAAUAAAUUGCCAUUAUUAUGUUCACCUUUUGGAAAAAAGUUAAGAACAAGAGACUCAAACAUCGACAUUUUCUGCUCCUAUGUUGAAUGGCCAGGAACUAUGUAAAUGAGAGGGCUGGGCCACCCUGGUUUUAUUAUCAUGUUUACCACCUGCUGCCGCGUACAGAGCGCUCUGCCCUACGUCUUAGCGUGGAUUGCUAGAAGAAUCCUUUCAAGUUGUAUACAGCAGGUAUGAGUCAUUUUCUCAUUUUGCAAAUGAGGAAACUUCGGUUUAGACAAAUUAAAUGACUCACCUAAGAUCAGGCAGUAGGAAUCUAAACCUAGAGCACCAUACUUGAAACAAUGAUUUUUAAAGAAAAUUAAACCUUGAGGACGCGACUCCCAAAGUCGUCUCAGUUACGUCCAUUAUAAAAGUCUAUUCAUAAAUUCACGUUUUCUAAGGAUUUUUGGAAAAUUUGUGGGGAAAAUUCUCAUCUGAUGCUUCCGUCCCACAAAAGAAUUAUUUUUACAUAAUCAUUUAUCCUUUAAAAGGGAAACAUUCAUACUAUUGACGGACUUAAGGUGUGAAGACCUGGCCACAAGCCACAGUUAACCGAAGGACGAUUCCUCCCGCAGGACUGUGCAGGCUCCGAGGGGUUCUGUCAUUUCUGUCAUCCCUGAGUGGGCUUCUCAAUAGCACGUGGGAUAAAUAACCUUUCCUGCAGAAGAAGGUGGGUUCACAGGGAUAUUCAGCUGCGUCACUGACACCAGUUGAUUCAUUUUAAGUCAAGAAGCAUCUGCUGGUCUUCCCCUGCCAGCGUGGUGUGAGGCAUCCUUCAUCCUGGUUGCACCUGCCAUGUGCAGGCUCUUUGGGACUCUGGAGCACACUUAUCCUGGCUCAGGGGGUGGGAGAUGGCAUGUCCAGGUGGCAGGUGGGAGCUGGAGUCCAGGCGGGACAAUGGGACCCAGGCUGUCCAACAGGAGAACUAGCCUGUGGCCAUGUGGGCAAUGUGGGGCCGGUGGGUGCAGGGCAAUGCUGUGUUAGUCUGCUCCAGCUGCCAUGACAAAUGCCACGGAUGGGAGACCUGAACAACAGACACUGAUUUCUCACAAUUCUAGGGGAUGGAAGCCCAAGGUCACGGUGUUGGCUGGUUUGGUUUCUGGCGAAGCCUCUUCCCUCUGUUUGUUGACGCCGCCUUCUCCCCGUGUCCUCAUGUGGCCUUCCUGCUGUGCGUGCAAGUGGAAAGGGAAAGAGAGAGCUCUGGGGUCGCCUCCUCCUCUUCUCAGGACACCAGUCUGACCAGAUCAGGGCCCCACCCUUAUGACUUCAUUUAAGCUUAAUCACCUCCCUGAAGGCCCCACCUCCAAAUGCAGCCACAGUGGGGGGUUAGGGCUUCAACAUGGGAAUUUCAGGGGGGCACAGCAUUCAGGCCAGAGCAAAUUGCAUCCAGAACCCGCACCAUUCCUUACUCACUUAGUGGACAGGGCUCUGGCCCUACCAAGGGCACUGGCUGGGGCUAGGUGGACACUAAUCCAGGCCUGUUCUAGAAAGACUCCACCCCACGGGGGAAACGGCCCCAAGCUGGGCCUAGACGGAGGCUGUCCCCGUAGUCUGCCGGGCAGGGGCACCACGUUCCAGGGUUUGUCCUUCCAGAAACUUGAUUGUGGCUCUGUCAGAUGUGCCAAGCCUACCCCAAACCAACCAGACCCACUGACAUAUUAACAUACGGGCAACACAUAUUUAUGGAACAUAUCCACUUGCCAGGUGUCGCUCUAGGAAAAUGGAAGUGCACAGAACCGACAAAAUUCCCUAUUACCGGAGCAUAUUACAUCCCAGACAGAGAACGUGAUUAUCCCAUGUCGGCGAUGCUCAGGUUUACACCCGCUGGACUCUCUCCCCUGGAAGGGCCCUGGGACGGGGGGGGGGGUUAAGAAUCAGCUGGGUCUUGUUGCCCCAAUUCAGAGAAAAGAGUAGCACUAAGUAGUCUGGGAGGGAAUUUCCAGGGAGAAUCAGGAUGGAGCCCACCUCCUCACUGACCAGACGCUCUUGUCUCUCUCUAUUUACCAGUCUCGGGGCAGUCAAGCCUCCCUGGGCUGGACCCUUGUCACUCGGCUUGUGUUUGCACAUUUCUCAAAUGUCCUCAGCACACACGAACCACGUACAGGGCGGAUCACUUCUACAGACCCGCUAUAUGCCCAUCUGUGAACUUGUCUCACUGCCGGAAACUAACCGAAUACCACGCCUGGUUAGAUGGCCAGCAUCCUCUGAUGCUCUGCCUGGAAGGGGCGCGCAGGUGUCAGGAACAAACAAGGGCCGUAACUCGAAUCUGGGUCAUUUGUGCAGGGCUGGACUAGAGCAGGGGGGUAGGCGCUGACCCCAGAGGGUGGCACUGUCUCAAGCUAGAGCUGGCCUUUGCUCCAGGAUGAGACGGAGCCUGCUGGGGUUCGGCAGCCCCUGCCUGAGAUGACAUUCAUGAUGUCACCAAG
This is a long non-coding RNA of Equus caballus (horse), 4029 nucleotides long. The record is from Ensembl. Lineage: Eukaryota; Metazoa; Chordata; Mammalia; Perissodactyla; Equidae.